CGCCGCGUGAAGGAAGAAGGCAUUCGUGUUGCAAACUUCUUUGACGAGGGAUGAAUUCAUGACAGUACCUCGAAAACAAGCCACGGCUAACUACGUGCCAGCAGCCGCGGUAAUACGUAGGUGGCGAGCGUUAUCCGGAAUUACUGGGUGUAAAGGGCGUGUAGGCGGGCUAAUAAGUCUGACGUGAAAUUUAGGGGCUUAACCCUUAGACUGCGUUGGAAACUGUAAGUCUUGAGUAAUGGAGAGGCAGGCGGAAUUCCUAGUGUAGCGGUGAAAUGCGUAGAUAUUAGGAGGAACACCAGUGGCGAAGGCGGCCUGCUGGACAUAAACUGACGCUGAGGCGCGAAAGUGUGGGGAGCAAACAGGAUUAGAUACCCUGGUAGUCCACGCUGUAAACGAUGAAUACUAGGUGUGGGGAGACUGACCCUCUCCGUGCCGGAGCAAACGCAAUAAGUAUUCCACCUGGGGAGUACGGUCGCAAGAUUAAAACUCAAAGGAAUUGACGGGGGCCCGCACAAGCAGUGGAUUAUGUGGUUUAAUUCGAAGCAACGCGAAGAACCUUACCAGGGCUUGACAUGGAGUCAGCGUAGGUAGAGAUACCUAUUCAUUUAGUUGGGACUCACACAGGUGGUGCAUGGUUGCCGUCAGCUCGUGUCGUGAGAUGUUGGGUUAAGUCCCGCAACGAGCGCAACCC
This 694-nucleotide ribosomal RNA is filed under the name uncultured bacterium. RNAcentral's name for it is "bacterial SSU rRNA". It matches the Rfam family "Bacterial small subunit ribosomal RNA", at positions 395 to 1104 of the family's 1533-position model. The record is from RNAcentral.